GGGCCGGUAGCUCAGUUGGUUAGAGCAGGGGACUCAUAAUCCCUUGGUCCGGGGUUCAAGUCCCUGCCGGCCUAC
This 75-nucleotide transfer RNA is filed under the name Aureliella helgolandensis. RNAcentral's name for it is "Planctomycetes bacterium Q31a tRNA-Met". It matches the Rfam family "tRNA". Rfam says of the family: Transfer RNA (tRNA) molecules are approximately 80 nucleotides in length. Their secondary structure includes four short double-helical elements and three loops (D, anti-codon, and T loops). Further hydrogen bonds mediate the characteristic L-shaped molecular structure. tRNAs have two regions of fundamental functional importance: the anti-codon, which is responsible for specific mRNA codon recognition, and the 3' end, to which the tRNAs corresponding amino acid is attached (by aminoacyl-tRNA synthetases). tRNAs cope with the degeneracy of the genetic code in two manners: having more than one tRNA (with a specific anti-codon) for a particular amino acid; and 'wobble' base-pairing, i.e. permitting non-standard base-pairing at the 3rd anti-codon position. The record is from RNAcentral. Lineage: Bacteria; Pseudomonadati; Planctomycetota; Planctomycetia; Pirellulales; Pirellulaceae.